AAGGCUUUAAGUUAAAUAAACUAAUAGCCUUCAAAGCUGUAAAUAAAGUAACAUUCUUUAAGCCUUA
This 67-nucleotide transfer RNA is filed under the name Diamphipnopsis sp. SD-2019. RNAcentral describes it as "tRNA-Trp". It matches the Rfam family "tRNA". From Rfam's summary of the family: Transfer RNA (tRNA) molecules are approximately 80 nucleotides in length. Lineage: Eukaryota; Metazoa; Arthropoda; Insecta; Plecoptera; Diamphipnoidae. The record is from RNAcentral.